Molecule: microRNA precursor, 103 nt
Filed under: Choloepus hoffmanni (Hoffmann's two-fingered sloth)
Lineage: Eukaryota; Metazoa; Chordata; Mammalia; Pilosa; Megalonychidae
Description: miRNA (ENSCHOG00000015745.1)
Rfam family: mir-1302 microRNA precursor family (bases 36-87)
Source: RNAcentral
CAGUUAAAAUUUUGCAUUUUGGGUAAAGAGAAUAAUUUUUAGUGUAAGUAUGUCCCAUGUAAUAUUUGGGACAUACUUAUACAAAAACAUUUUUCAUGGUUAU